CAUGCAAGUCGAGGGGGUUAUUGGUUUUACGGGACCAAGAGACCGGCGCACGGGUGCGUAACGCGUAUGCAAUUCUACCUUUUGCAGAGGGAUAGCCCAGAGAAAUUUGGAUUGAUACCUCAUAGUAUAGUACUUUGGCAUCAAGGAACUAUUAAAGUCACAACGGCAAAAGAUGAGCAUGCGUCCCAUUAGCUAGUUGGUAAGGUAACGGCUUACCAAGGCUACGAUGGGUAGGGGUUCUGAGAGGGAGAUCCCCCACACUGGUACUGAGACACGGACCAGACUCCUACGGGAGGCAGCAGUGAGGAAUAUUGGACAAUGGGCGCAAGCCUGAUCCAGCCAUGCCGCGUGCAGGAUGACGGUCCUAUGGAUUGUAAACUGCUUUUAUACAGGAAGAAACACUCCGACGUGUCGGAGCUUGACGGUACUGUAAGAAUAAGGAUCGGCUAACUCCGUG
This 457-nucleotide ribosomal RNA is filed under the name uncultured bacterium. Its description in RNAcentral is "bacterial SSU rRNA". It matches the Rfam family "Bacterial small subunit ribosomal RNA", at positions 54 to 507 of the family's 1533-position model. The record is from RNAcentral.